Molecule: long non-coding RNA, 32193 nt
Filed under: Setaria italica (foxtail millet)
Lineage: Eukaryota; Viridiplantae; Streptophyta; Magnoliopsida; Poales; Poaceae
Description: long non-coding RNA (SITA_LNC003062)
Source: RNAcentral
AAAGGGGCCAACACCGCAGGCAGCGUUGGGUGCAGACGCAACCUCCUACUUGAAAUCCUCGACGACGAAGUCCGGAUCCUGCUCUGAAGCAACAAAAUAGGGGUGAGUACAAAAGUACUCAACAAGUCCAACCCCAUCCACGGAGGGGGAUAUAGCAAGAUUAUGCACAAGAUACAACAAGGAUAUGGUUAAGGUUUAUUUGCAAUAAAGCUAGAUUUUGGACACAUGCAGGUGUUUAUUUCAAAGGAUUUUUGCAAGGCAUUUUCUUUAAUAACUAAAACAUUAAGUGGGGUUGAUCCUACACAAAGGAUCCAAGUUUUAUCGCUACCGGACUCCCCGUCUGCUGUAGCGCAUGGCACAACUGCCGGACUCUUCCAAAAUCCAACACACGCCAUAAAAACCAACCAUCUCUAAAUGCUAGUUAUGUGACCAAGCCGUAACUCGUCCAAUGCCGUGGACACGGCUACCCGGAUAGGUUUUAACUCUACAGAGGUUGUACACUUUUCCCACAAGUAGGGUACCACAGCACGAACCACCUUAGUGCCGGUGUGGAUCCUAACAAAGCCAUUACCCACCUUAGCCCAAACUGACUAGUCAACACAGAAGCACCCAAGGGGUUAACGACCCAUCCAUGAGGCCGAAACCAGGACUUAAGUCACCAAGAGCUUAAUCCAUUCCCAUGGGCUUCCGUCGCUCACCAGCACACCUGAAGCCUAGCAGUUUAGCUAGUGGGGUUUAUGCUAAGCCGUUGCCCAUACAACGGUCGAGUGGUUGCACGAUGGUUGAAUUAGGCAAGAUGACACAUCAACUCGGUCCUUAGCCAUGACAAGAUGGACAUCUCCCAACUUUUCUCAACCACUAAGGUACGAGCUCAACAACCCAACAUUUCACACAAGAAACGCCCAUCCAUCUCAUCCAUGCACCAUUUCUCUUUACACCCAAAAACCCAUCUCCUCAGUUGAACACACUCAUACAUUUUAUUUUCUGAAAGAAAACAAGUGUAGUCAUGAUUGAAUAUGAUUAACGAGUUCCUAAGCAUUCUAGCAGUAUUUGUCAUCUAAACAGAGCAACUCAUAUUUAGAGACAAAUAUAGGUCAACAAGGAAUAAUUGUAACAAUCAAGGGGUGGCUAUCCAACCAUGUCUUGCAAGUAAACAAUAUGCAUUUUAGAAAACAGGCCAAUAGUUUGUGUUUGAAAAACUAGGUAUUAAAUAUGCAUCAAAGGAUAAGGUUGGACUUGCCGUUCUCAAAGCCUUCCGGGAGCUCCUGCUCACGGUAUUGGUCCUCGGGCUUGGGCUCAUGGUCGAACUCCUCCUCGUGCUCCUCCUCGGGUACCCCGUGAUCUACAACACACAGAAAUGAGCACACAAUAAAUAAAAAGGAAAAAGAUUCUACCCGUUGAGCUCCGAACAGGAAAUUUGAACGGAAAAUAGGUAGGAAGGGUAUUUUCAUGAAAUUUGGAUAUGCCUUAGCGGAAAUAUAUGAGAGGAGGCCGUGGUCAAAUUUGGGAUCAAUUGGAGGAAGUUUGGCACAUGAAAUGACGGGUUAAAGGGGUGUUAGUGGCUUAAAACAAGGUUUAGGACUAAACCGCGAGAACCAGGGACCUAUUUGUAAUUAUUUCCGAGGGGUGGAAGGGCGUAUCCACGAAAUUUUUCUUAGAGAGGUGGGAGGGCCGGUUUGCAAAUAGGAGGACACGGGAGGGGCAGAUCAAAAUGAANNNNNNNNNNNNNNNNNNNNNNNNNNNNNNNNNNNNNNNNNNNNNNNNNNNNNNNNNNNNNNNNNNNNNNNNNNNNNNNNNNNNNNNNNNNNNNNNNNNNCAAUGGAUGGGGCGGCGGUGCUCGGUGGAGGUGGAGGUUGAGCCCUCGCGAGAGAGUAGGGGAAGGGCGGCGGUGAGGCUAGUGGCGGUGGUGAUGCGAAGAGCCGGGGCAUAUCCCCUUUUAUAGGCCGGCGAAGGGGUGGGAGGCGGCUGGCCGUGGUGAUGGUGGCCGGGACUUUUCUGGCCGGUGGCGUGCCGGCGUGGUGGCCCGGUUGGCGAGGAGGCACAGGGGGUGAUGACUUCGUGGGGAGGCGCGCCAGGAGGAGUGGCGUGGUGGCCGGCGGAUGGCGCGGUGCACAGGAGGCGGCGACGGGAUAGGACAGGCAGAGCGGCGCGUCACUAGCGCGGUGCGCAGGCGAGCCGAGCGGAGUGGGGCGGCCAGGCGCGGCCAGGUGCGCGGCGGGGCCCGAGGCGCGGCCAGGCGCGGUAGAGCCAGUGCGCGGCAGGCACGUGGGCCGGGUAGCGCCAGGCGGGCGGCGCCGGGGGAGUUGCGCCAGGAGUAAAAGAAGGAGAGAGAGAAGGAGGGGAGGAGGAGGGAGAAGAGGAGAAAGAAGGAAGAAGGAGAAAAAGAAGGAAGGAUAAGGAAGGGAAAGGAGAGGAAAAAGGAGGAAAAAGGGGAAAGUGGCAAAAAUUUCGGGAUUUGACCGGCACGCGUGACGGAUUGGACGGGCACGAGGCGAAAAUUACGGGGAAUGGAAUAAGUGGGUUGACGACGUCGGGGCCGGAAUGGAUAAUCCGAUGGGAAGGAAAAGAUUUGACUGGGCUCAACAGUCGAAAAAAUUUUGGAAUGUGUUUUUAACGAGUGAUUUAAUUUGGUAGAUUUUUACGGGCAUUACAAACCUACCCCACUUAAAUUGAAUCUCGUCCUCGAGAUUGGGCUGAAUUCUGAAAAGAUGGGGAAACUCCUUCUUUAAUGCAUCCUCGCGUUCCCAAGUGUCUUCUUCUUCACCAUGCCUACUCCAUUGGACUCUGCAAAUCCGCACUACUGAAUUCCUUGUCCUUCCGGUGACGGUGUCCAGAAUCUUGAUGGGUACCUCCUGAUAUCGUAGAUCUUUUUGCAAAUCUAUGGUUUCCACCGGUACUUGCUCUUCUGGUACUCUCAGACAUUUUCUUAGCUGGGACACAUGAAAUACCGGGUGUAUAUCCGACAUUUCUUCGGGUAGCUGAAUGCGGUAUGCUACAGCUCCAACUCUUUUUAACACCUGGUAUGGUCCAAUAUACCGAGGGGCUAACUUUCCCUGCACUUGGUGUUGGAGGUAUGCCCUAGAGGCAAUCAUAGAGAUGAUGAUAUUCCAUUUGUAUCCAUGAUCUGUAUAUUGUGUUCAUUGAAUAUCCAUUAAAGGCUACUUGAAUUGAUUGGAAAUUAUGUGAAUUGUAUGUGAAACUCUUUACUUGUAUGAUUAUUCUAAAGUUGUCCCUAGUCAGAGUUCAUGUGAGGACACACAUGAAUAUUAGACUAGCACAUGUAUUAGUUGAUGACUAUGUUUCACAAGUCAUGGACAUGGAGAUGUUGAACUAAUAAUGUGGACACAUGUGGAGACAUGUGCUAGGACUGACCCAACACGAGAAGUGGUUCUCUCUUUAAACAACAUAUACGCUUUGUCCUUAGACCUGAGAUUGUCGCAUGUAUUCAAGAUGUGGAUCGACCUACUUAGAGGCUAUCAAACGCUACACCGUAACAGGGUAGUUAUAAAGGUAGCUUUCGGGUUUGUCAAGAAGCAUGCUAUGAGACAUGGUCAAUCAAGAUGGGAUUUGCCCCUCUCUGAUUGGGAGUGAUAUCUCUGGGCCCCUCGAGUGAUCGGAUCCGAAAAUGCAUGGCCAUGCUACGUACGGUUAAGAGUUAACCUACAAAGGGAUUACGAAUCACAGGAUCGAGAAAGAGCGGUCGGCUUGAACCUAGACCAAAUAUCGUGAGGCAAAGGGAAUAGCAUGUAUAUUAUGUUGUGAUGGUUCAUCUGAUAUGAUCUUCGUGUGCGUAUAGGAGUUGGCACGUCUUGCUAGAGGCCGCUAUCCGAACUCAUAGGGUCACACACUUAAGGGGCUGGAAGCCCAAUUCGGAUCUGAUUCGAGUUGGAUUAGGUUUAGAAGUACUAAUGGGCCUCGGACCCAGAGGCCCGUCAGGAACCUCUAUAAAUAGAGGGGUGGGGGCGCCCUAGGGUUUACACCUUUUUGGCGAAUCACAUCGGCUGCACCUCCCACGCCCUUGCCUGUUGCAACUCGCGGAUCUAGCAGUCCGGCUUGCGACGCUUCCUCCCUGCAUGUGUGGAUACCUUGGAGGUAUUGCGCCUGCAGCACUUGGACGAGCAGCCGACGAGCCACGAUGAGCCGACGACGAGCCGCGGCACGAGGGCGAUCUUGCUGCACGUGGACGAGCUGCUGAGGAGCUGCUGGACGUUGACGUGAUCGACUACGUACGACUACGUUGAUCGACUACGUAUGACUACGUUGAUCAUCUUCGCUGCAUCGACACAAAUCUACAUCUUCCGCACCAGUAGUGUGUCGAGUGGUAAUCCCGUGAUCCUUAUACGGCAGUUCUUCCUGGUUUUACGCGGUAGAAAUUUUGAUUUGCGCUAGUGUAGCCUACCUCGUAUCCCCACAGUGGUAUCAGAGCCAUAGCUAUUUAGUUUUGGAUUCGGGAUGUGUGCAUAUGGAGAUAUGCGAGUUUUCAGUUUGGUCUAUGUCUUUGUUUCAUGCUCUUGCUGCAAUGGUAGUGUAACGACAUACUCCUACCGGUUGGUUUCCGCCAUCGGAGUUAAGUGAUACACGUAAAUCCAGUUGCAGUGAGCGAAGAUCAAUAUGAUUGGUCGAAUCGAAAUCUAGGGUCAUACGCCAAGCGCAUUAGAUGUGCAAAAGUAGAUGGGAUCUACUACCGGGGUCGGGAUUUUGCCGUAUGCGUAUGCUUCGGUAAAUCAGCCGUAACUUUUCGGUACGAUCUCGGAUCAGGGCGAAUUUUAUAUGAAAAUUAGAUUUCCCAAAUUCAGCUUGGAAGAUGGAGUUUUGGGCAUCCGAAGUUUGGAACGUUAGGACGCUUAACUCUGUUUUGCAGGAUGUAUGUUGCUUGUGAUCAGUAUGGCCCUUUGUGUAUGUGAUGCAUGUGUGUAACUCAUUCAUGACCUGCGUGUCGCGCGUACGGCAACACGAUAGGAGCCAUAUGUGUUGUCACUUUAUUGUAUUUAAUGGUCUGCGUACCAAUCUAUGAUGAUCCAAGCAACUAUGUAAUCUUCAUUACUAGCUUUUUACUAGCUAUUAGGCGUAAUAGCAUGUUCUAGUUCUUGGAGGACUCAUCAUCAGGAGGAUGGCGCACAUGAAACAUGGAGAUGGAGAUCACCAUGGUGAACAGAUUCUAUGGAGAUGGAGAUCACCAUAAGAAAACGGACCAUACUGUGUCACAACUGUGUGAAUGCUAUUCUGUUUGCUAGCGGUGAUGCUAAAGCUCACUAGUAGACUUGUUAGUUGUGGAUCCUAAAUCACUAAGUUUCAAUAGAGGGAUAUUUAUUUUAGUGGGAGUAGAUUCUGUUAAAAUAUUUUAAUGUGAUUUGCCCUAUCAUGGAUACGUUUGUCUUGGUGUAUUUUGCAUUACUUUUGUUGUAGAUUAAAUGGCACCUAGCAGCACUACACCGUUUGCUUUGCGUUCGGUCCUUGAGAAGGACAAGUUGAAUGGAACAAAUUACUCGGAUUGGAUCCGUAACCUGAGAAUUGUUCUCAGGGCUGAGAAAAAGGAAGAUGUUCUAGACAACCCACUACGAGAAGAACCUGCUGAUGAUGCACCCACUGCUAAGAAUGCUUACAAGAAAGCAUGUGAUGCUAACCUCGAAGUAAGCUGCCUUAUGCUUGCUUGCAUGGAACCCGAGCUGCAGAUGCAGUUCGAAACAAACCAUGAGGCGCACGAUAUGAUCGUGGCGCUUAGAGACAUGUUCCAAACACAGGCCAGGACUGAAAGGUUCAAUGUGUCUAAGGCCUUUGUGGAGAGCAAGCUAGCAGAAGGUGCAGCAGUAGGACCACAUGUAAUCAAGAUGGUUGGUUACACUCAACGGUUGGAGAAGCUGGGUUUCCCACUGGGCCAAGAGUUGGCCACUGAUUUCAUUCUUUCGUCUCUUCCACCUAGCUAUGGGAACUUCAUCUCGAACUACCAUAUGCAUGGGACGGAGAAGGGUCCGAAUGAGCUGUGUGGCAUGCUUAAAACAGCAGAGGCUGACAUCAAGAAAAGCGCUAGUACCAACCAUGUGAUGGCUAUACAGAACAAGCCUAGCUUUAAGAAGAAGGGCAAUUCUUGGAAGAAGAAGGGCAAGGCUGGAACGUCCAAGCCAAACCCAGCGCCCAAGGUUAAAGCUGGACCUGGACCUGCUCCAGACAAAGAGUGCUUUUACUGUCAUGAACUUGGUCAUUGGAAGAGAAACUGCAAGCAGUACCUAGCUUCGUUGAAGAAUGGCGGAAGUAAGAGUACUUCUACCUCAGGUAUGCUUGUUGUUAAUGUUAUAGACAACAUUUUUCUCGCUGAUACAAUUAUUAAUUCUUGGGUAUUUGAUACCGGAUCGGUUGCUCAUAUUUGCAAUUCGAUGCAGGGAAUGAUAAGAAGUAGAAGCGUGGAAAGAGGAGAAGUUGAUUUCGGCGUGGGCAAUAAUGCAAGAGUUGCUGCGUUGACCGUCGGGACGAUGCAACUCCACCUCCCAUCAGGAUUUAUUAUGGAGUUGAAUAAUUGUUAUUUCGUUCCUAGUCUAAGUCGAAACAUUUUGUCUCCUUCAUGCUUGAUGAAGGAUGGUUAUUCAUUUGCGAGUGAAAACAAUGGUUGUGUGAUCUCUAAGAAUGAUAUGUUUAUGGCUUUUGCACCCAUUGUGAAUGGAUUAUUUGUUUCAAAUCUUGAUGGUUCACCUGUCUGUAACAUAAGUGAUAAAAGGCCUCGGCCUAAUGAUUUGAGUCCUACCUACUUGUGGCAUCGUCGUUUGGCUCAUAGAAGUGAAAAGCGCAUGAAGAAGCUCCAUUCUGAUGGACUUCUAACUUCGUUUGAUUUUGAAUCAUACGAGACAUGUGAGGCUUGCUUGCUAGGCAAGAUGACCAAGACGCCUUUCACAGGAUUUUCUGAGAGAGCAGUAGACUUGUUGGAACUCAUACAUAGUGAUGCAUGCGGACCAAUGAGCACGACGGCUAGAGGAGGAUUCCAAUACUUCAUAACUUUCACUGAUGAUUUUAGUAGAUAUGGCUAUGUCUACUUGAUGAGGCACAAGUCUGAAACCUUUGAAAAGUUCAAGGAAUUUCAGAAUGAAGUUGAAAAUCAGCGUGGCAAGAAAAUUAAGGCCUUACGAUCUGAUUGUGGAGGCGAGUAUUUGAGCCACGAGUUUAGCAAUCAUCUAAAGAGUUGCGGAAUUUUUCCACAACUUACGGCGCCUGGAACACCUCAGAGAAAUGGUGUAUCUGAGCGAUGUAAUCAAACUUUGUUAGACAUAGUUCGAUCAAUGAUGAGCCAGUCGGACCUACCGUUGUCAUUUUGGGGAUACGCUCUAGAAACAGUAGCUUUCACACUUAAUAGGGUACCAUCUAAAUCCGUAGUUAAGACACCAUAUGAGAUAUGGACUGGAAAGGUUCCUAGUUUGUCUUUUCUAAAGAUUUGGGGAUGUGAAGUGUUUGUCAAGCGACUUCAGUCAGACAAGAUCACACCCAAGUCGGAUAAGUGCAUUUUCGUGGGAUAUCCAAAGGAAACUUUGGGAUAUUAUUUCUACAACCGAUUAGAAGGCAAAGUGUUUGUCGCUCGGAACGGGGUUUUCCUAGAGAAAGAGUUUCUCAAAGGAGAAAAGAGUGGAAAGAUAGUGCAUCUUGAAGAAGUUCAAGAUGAGUCGAUCGGGCAAGAAUCAAUGAGUGAUGCUAACGUAGCAGAACAAGUUGAGUGGCAAGAGAAGCACCGCCACAACCACGAAGGUCGGCAAGGCUUCGCGAAAUGCGGGAAAUAUUAUUGUUGGACAAUGAUGAGCCUGCGACAUAUGCAGAAGCAAUGAUGGACCCAGACUCCGAAAAAUGGCAGAGUGCCAUGCAAUCCGAAAUAGAGUCCAUGGGAGACAAUCAAGUUUGGAACUUGGUUGACCCGCCUGAUGGUGUUAAAGCCAUAGAGUGCAAGUGGAUCUAUAAGAAGAAAAAGGACAUGGAUGGAAAUGUUCACAUCUAUAAAGCACGACUUGUCGCAAAAGGUUUUCGGCAAGUUUAAGGAGUUGACUACGAUGAGACUUUCUCGCCCGUAGUGAUGCUUAAGUCCUUUCGGAUUAUUCUAGCUAUAGCUGCAUAUUUCGAUUAUGAGAUAUGGCAGAUAGAUGUCAAGACAGCUUUCCUGAAUGGAAACCUAGCUGAGGACGUGUAUAUGAUACAGCCUGAGGGUUUUGUCGAUCCGGAAAAUGCUGGAAAGGUAUGCAAGCUUCAAAGAUCCAUUUAUGGAUUGAAGCAAGCAUAUAGGAGUUGGAACAUUCGUUUUGAUGAAGUGGUCAAAGGGUUUGACUUCACCAAGAACGAAGAAGAGUCUUGUGUUUACAAGAAGGUUAGUGGGAGCUCUGUAGUAUUUCUAAUCUUAUAUGUGGAUGGCAUAUUGCUGAUUGGAAAUAACAAUCCUAUGCUUGAGUCCGUAAAGACUUCACUGGAAAAUAGUUUUUCGAUGAAGGACUUAGGGGAAGCGGCAUAUAUUCUAGGCAUUAAGAUCUAUAGAGAUAGAUCGAGAAGGCUUAUAGGAUUAAGCCAAGAUACUUACAUUGACAAAGUGUUGAAGCGGUUCAGCAUGGAAGAAGCAAAGAAAGGGUUCUUGCCUAUGUCACAUGGCAUACAUCUCAACAAGACUCAGUGUCCUUCGACUGCUGAUGAGCGGGAUCGCAUGAGUAGAGUGCCAUAUGCCUCGGCUAUUGGAUCUAUCAUGUAUGCAAUGAUAAGUACUCACCCAGAUUUUUCAUAUGCGCUAAGUAUGACAAGGAGACACCAGUCUGAUCCAGGUGAGAGUCACUGGACAACGGUAAAAAACAUUCUUAAGUACUUGAGAAGGACUAAAGAUAUGUUCCUCGUCUAUGGAGGUGAGGAGAAGCUCGUUGUAACAUGUUACACCGAUGCUAGUUUCCAAACCGACAGAGAUGAUUCAAAGUCACAAUCAGGAUUUGUGUUCACGCUAAAUGGUGGUGCUGUUAGUUGGAAGAGUUCCAAGCAGGAGAUGGUGGUCGAUUCUACGACAGAAGCCAAGUACAUUGCAGCUUCGAAAGCCGCGAAGGAAGGUAUUUGGAUAAGGAAUUUCCUCAUUGAGCUUGGUGUGUUCCCGAAUGCGUCCAGCCCAUUGAAUCUCUACUGUGAUAAUAAUGGGGCAAUUGCGCAAGCAAAGGAGCCAAGGAACCACCAGAAGAACAAACACGUAAUGCGGCGAUUUCAUCUCAUUCGAGACUUUGUUAACCGGGGUGAGAUCAAGAUAUGCAAAAUACACACGGAUCUGAACAUUUCUGAUCCGUUGACAAAACCACUCCCGCAGGCUAAGCAUGAUGCGCAUGUAAGAGCUAUGGGUAUUAGGUACCUUCUAGAUUGACUCUAGUGCAAGUGGGAGACUGUUGGAGGUAUGCCCUAGAGGGAAUCAUAGAGAUGAUGAUAUUCCAUUUGUAUCCAUGAUUUGUAUAUUGUGUUCAUUGAAUAUCCAUUAAAGGCUACUUGAAUUGAUUUGCAAUUAUGUGAAUUGUAUGUGAAACUCUUUACUUGUGUGGUUAUUCUAAAGUUGUCCCUAGUCGGAGUUCAUGUGAGGACACACAUGAAUGUUAGACUAGCACAUGUAUUAGUUGAUGACUAUGUUUCACAAGUCAUGGACAUGGAGAUGUUGAACUAAUAAUGUGGACACAUGUGGAGACAUGUGUUAGAACUGACCCAACACGAGAAGUAGUUCUCUCUUUAAACAACAUAUACGCUUUGUCCUUAGACCUGAGAUUGUCGCAUGUAUUCAAGAUGUGGAUCGACCUACUUAGGGGGUAUCAAACGCUACGCCGUAAUAGGGUAGUUAUAAAGGUAGCUUUCGGGUUUGAUAAGAAGCAUGCUAUGAGACAUGGUCAAUCAAGAUGGGAUUUGCCCCUCUCUGAUUGAGAGUGAUAUCUCUGGGCCCCUCGAGUGAUCGGAUCCGAAAAUGCAUGGUCAUGCUACGUACGGUUAAGAGUUAACCUACAAAGGGAUUACGAAACACAGGAUCGAGAAAGAGCGGUCGGCUUGAAGCUAGACCAAAUAUCGUGAGGCAAAGGGAAUAGCAUGUAUAUUAUGUUGUGAUGGUUCGUCUGAUAUGAUCUUCGUGUGCGUAUAGGAGUUGGCACGUCUUGCUAGAGGCCGCUACCGUCUAUUGGGCUGAGUAGGAGUACUCGGGCCAUGUCUAUACGUAUCCGAACCCAUAGGGUCACACACUUAAGGGGCUGGAAGCCCAAUUCGGAUCUGAUCCGAGUUGGAUUAGGUUUAGAAGUACUAAUGGGCCUCGGACCCAUAGGCCCGUCAGGAACCUCUAUAAAUAAAGGGGUGGGGGCGCCCUAGGGUUUACACCUUUUUGGCGAAACACAUCGGCCGCGCCUCCCACGCCCUCGCCUGUUGCAACUCGCGGAUCUAGUAGUCCGGCUUGUGACGCUUCCUCCCUGCAUGUGUGGAUACCUUGGAGGUGUUGCGCCUGCAGCACUUGGACGAGCCGCCGACAAGCCACGACGAGCCGACAACGAGCCGCGGCAUGAGGGCGAUCUUGCUGCAUGUGGAUGAGCUGCUGAGGAGCUGCUGGACGUUGACGUGAUCGACUACGUACGACUGCGUUGAUCGACUACGUACAACUACGUUGAUCGUCUUCGCUGCAUCGACGCAAAUCUACAUCUUCCGCGCUAGUAGUGCGUCGAGUGGUAAUCCCGUGAUCCUUAUACGACAGUUCUUCCUGGUUUUACGCGGUAGAAAUUUUGAUUUGCGCUAGUGUAGCCUACCUCGUAUCCCCACACUUGGAACCUUCGGGUACCUUGAAUCAUAGAGACCUUAAGGUAUACGAAGUCCCCUUCAUUGAAAAUCAACUCUCGUCUUCUUUUAUCUGAUUAACUCUUCUGCCUAGACUGUGCUACCUUCAACUUCUCUCGUAUUUCAGCCACUCGUUCUUCUGCCUCUUUGAUAAAGGUGGGUCCCACUAGGGUGCGCUCUCCUACUUCCGACCACAUCAACGGGGUCCUGCACUUUCUCCCAUAGAGAGCCUCGAACGGUGACAUGCCUAAGCUGGCUUGGUAACUGUUGUUAUAUGAGAACUCUGCAUAGGGUAGACUCUGUUCCCAGUCCUUGCCAUAAGUAAGGACACAUGCCCUCAACAUGUCCUCCAUAAUUUGAUUCACUGUCUCUGUUUGGCCAUCGGUUUGACGGUGAUAAGCUAAACUAAAAUCCAGUUUGGUGCCCAUAGUUUUAUGCAGACUCUUCCAGAAUCUAGAGGUAAAUUGGGUCCCUCUAUCCGAAACAAUUCUGCUAGGCACACCAUGUAGCUUCACUAUGUUGUCUACAUAGAGUCGAGCUAGCUUUUUUCCACCAUAGGUGGUCCAUACAGGUAAGUAGUGGGCAACUUUAGUGUGUUGGUCCACUAUUACCCAUAUGGAGUCAUUCCCUUUUUGAGUCUUGGGCAAACCCACUACAAAAUCCAUGCCAAUCUCGUCCCACUUCCAAACUGGAAUGGGUAGUGGUUGCAGUAAGCCGGCUAGCUUCUGAUGUUCGGCCUUAACCCUUUGGCAAAUAUCGCAUUGAGCAACGAACUGGGCUAUGUCCUCCUUCAUCCCAUUCCACCAGUAUUUCUGCUUUAGGCCCAUAUACAUCUUGGUGGAUCCCGGGUGGAUGGAAUAUGCUGAUUUAUGGGCCUCGUCCAUGAUGGUUUGCCGGAAAUCUCUUUCCUUGGGCACACAAACCCUAUCCUUGUACCACAAGGUCCCUUUGACAUCCACUCUGAAGUCUGGGUCUUUACUCUCUCCGGUUUGCUUGCAAAUCCUCAUCAAGUCCUGAUUCAAACCUUGGGCCUCUCGGAUCCUUUCCUCCAAAGUGGGCUGAACACUUAGCUUACGGUUGGUACUCUGAGGGGUAAUGUGUACAUUUAAUUGGGCCAUUUCCUCUUGCAAGUGGGGGUCCUUAGGCCCGAUCCGUCCAUAGGAUUUCGGCUUAAGGCAUCCGCUACCACGUUAGCCUUACCGGGGUGGUAGUGAAUUUCCAGAUUAUAAUCCUUGACCAACUCUAACCACCUUCUUUGCCUUAAAUUCAAAUCUAGUUGGGUGAAGAUAUAUUUUAGGCUCUUGUGGUCUGUGUAAAUCUCACACUUGUUCCCAAUCAGAUAGUGUCUCCAAAUCUUGAGAGCAAGCACUACUACCGCAAAUUCCAAAUCAUGGGUGGGGUAAUUUUGUUCAUGGGGCUUAAGUUGGCGGGAAGCAUAUGCCACUACUUUCCCAUCCUGCAUCAGGAUACACCCUAACCCUUGUCGGGAAGCAUCACAAUAAAUGACAAAGUCCUGCUGGAUAUCUGGUAGGGUUAAUACUGGAGCGGUCGUCAAUCUUCUUUUCAGUUCUUGAAAGCUCCUCUCACAUGACUCUAUCCAAUUAAAUUUCUUGUCCUUCCUCAGUAGCUCUGUCAUGGGCCGGGCUAUCUUAGAGAAUCCUUCAAUGAACCUCCGAUAAUACCUAGCUAGACCGAGAAAGCUCCUGAUUUCACUAACAUUAGUGGGUUGCUGCCAGUUGGAGACGGCCUCAACCUUCUCAGGAUCAACUGCUACUCCUUCUGCCGUUAAGAUGUGACCAAGAAAUGCCACCUUCUCGAGCCAAAAUUCACAUUUACUGAAUUUAGCAUAGAGUCGGUGGGCUCUCAAUUUCUCCAACACUACCCGUAGAUGUUGCUCAUGCUCUUGGACACUCUUGGAGUAAAUGAGUAUGUCGUCGAUAAAGACCACAACAAACUUAUCUAACUCCUCCAUAAACACCUUGUUCAUGAGGUUCAUGAAAUAAGCAGGGGCAUUGGUCAGUCCAAAGGACAUCACUAUAAAUUCAAACUGGCCAUAGCGGGUAACAAAAGCUGUCUUCAGGAUGUCACUUUCCUUAAUCUUGAGCUGGUGGUAAUCUGAUCUCAAAUCUAUUUUGGAGAAAUACUUGGCUCCCUUCAACUGGUCAAAUAUGUCAUUUAUUCUGGGAAGAGGGUAUUUAUUCUUGAUGGUGACUUCAUUCAGUGCGCGAUAAUCCACGCACAUCCUCAUGCUUCAUUUCAUUCUCCAAGCUUUCAGGAUAUCUCUUCGUUAGCCUUUUGAAGAAAUUCCUUUAUUCUUAUUUCACCCGCCAAUCCUAUAAUUUUAGAGGAAAUUUUUUGGAAGCUCCAUUGCAGGAUUCAAACCUAACCAUUUCUUUCUUGUUUCCACUUUUCAAGAUUUCAAUUGAAUGAGAAUCACUCACACCUUAUAUUACUUUAUAGACACUUUGCAGAAAGCCAAGAUUUGCUUUAUCAGGUAUCAGACGGGAACUGCGAGCAAAUAAAACCUCUAUCGCAACAACCAGACUCGGUUUCAGAAAGUCGGAAAACAGGUACAUGAAAAACUUUUUUGAAUUAGUGAUUUGAUUUAUUCUGACUCGAUCUAUUAAAACAUUCAUAACCUUUAGUGAAAAAGGAAAGAUAGUUAAAGGAAGAACGGGAACUCUCAGUUAAGAAUCAUGAAAAGCAGUUGGGCCAAACCAGAUAGCUAGGUUCGAUUUUUGGGUCGGGGAGUUUUCAGUUUCUCUAGUGGGAGAAAUGGUGUUUGACACGACGAAAGGGGGCACACUGAGCAAGUACGACAAAUUGGCCCCGUGGAGCUUUCAAAAAGAAAAGCAAGGACCACUACGGGAGGUCGAACCACGUGGAUUUUCGAGAUUUAAAUAAAGCGUGUCCUAAAGACGAGUUUUCAUUUUGUCGGGCCCCAAUCCUUCUUCUUUCUUUUUUGAAUUCCGAUCGUCAUCCACAAUACUAGUAACAUGUGAUGAUGCACCCGAAUCUACUGCUCUAAGUUUAAAAAAAAUACCAGGAGACCACUACCAAAAAAAAAGGUAAAAGCACAGCCGGGCGGAAGGAUGGAGCGAGCCUAUUCCAAACAAUAGAGCUCAACAUUUCCAAAUUUUAGUAUGUACUUUGUUCGAUAAAUAGAACAAUUCCUUUCUCUUUUAUCAAAGAAGAGUAGGGAACCUCUCGCUGGUUUUUGGAAUUUGAAAUCAGGAAGUGGAUUCAAUUGAGAGCGGAUAGCAAGAUCGAAUGAAUGGAUACUCUAAGAUAGAACGAGAAAAAGCAAAUUUGUACCCCUAGUUCCCUUUUACUUAUCUGGCAUUUUGUAUUAUUCCAAUUCCUUACCUGAACUUUCCCCUUCAUUUUUGUGCUUAUCCUAGUUGUUGGUUUAGUUUAUGAAACUAAGAGCUGAGAGUCCUAACUCAGUAAAGUAUAGGAUUAAAGACAUUACCUAUUACUGCAUUAUUUGUUGCUCCGAGUCAAGAAAAGCGUCUUUCUUCUUGACAAAAUGCACUGGGGCUCCCCACGGGGAUGAGCUAGGUCUGAUAAAGCCACUCUAUUGCAGUUCGCCUAACUGUUUCUUCAGCUCUUUCAACUUAGAUGCUGCCAUUCUAUAGGGCCUCUUGGCUAUAGGGAAGGUUCCAGGGAUAAGGUCGAUUACAAACUCUAUAUCCCUAUCUGGGGGCAUUCCAGGUAGUUCUUCAGGAAAGACAUCAGGGUAUUCACUCACUACCGGGACUCCUUCUAUGGCCUUGGCUUCCAUGCUAAAAACCAUUGGGUCGGGUCCACUGCCCCGAGUGUGACAGGUCAGUUGUACACCAUCCUGAUUAACCAGACGUACUACCUUAUCAGCACAUCCUAUGUGACCAUCAUGUAGGCUUAACCAAUCCAUUCCAAGGAUCACAUCUAUCUCCUUAGACUCAAGUACUACCAAGUCUGCUAGGAAUUCUACCCCACUUAAAUUGAUCCUUACCCGGGAACAACCUAGUUGACACUGGAUGUCGGCUCCAGGCGUCCGGGUUAUUAGGGGUACCUUUAGUAGUACUGUAGGUAUGUGGUGCUUAUCCACAAAGCUUGAUGAUAUAAAUGAAUGUGAUGCUCCAGAAUCGAAGAGUAUUGUUGCCAAGAGUGAGCUGACUAAAAACUCACCGAGUACCACACCCUGAGCUUCUUGAGCCUCUUGCGCGCUGAUGUGGUUGACGCGGGCUCGUCCGAACGACUGCUGGGGCUGCCUCAUCUGCUGGCUGUUGUUGUUGUUGCUGGGGUGGUUGUUGCUACGGACGGGAACAUGGUUGGCCCCUGACACUACCACCCUUGGCCCAGUCACUGCGUUGGAGAAGGCUGAUGCAGCUGGCUUGUUGGCGUAGGGGCAGUUGGCAAUGAAAUGCCCUGGCUCACAGCAGUUGAAGCAUGCCCUGCCGUUGUUGGUGACUUGACUGGCACUGUUCUGUGGGGCCUUGACAGGGUUCUGGCUUCUGAAUGGGGCAUAGGUCUGAUGGGAACCGGAGGCUUGAGACUGGGUCCAGUACUGCAUGGGAGCUUGGGACCUAGGCAUGGGGUGACCAAAGCUCCUUGGUUUCUGGAACCUAUCCUGCUGGUGGGCCUUGCUGUCCAGGAACCGGCGCUUGUUGUCCCUCCUCUCAUCUGCUUUGGCCCUCUCAAUCAGGAUGGCCAUGUUCAUCAGAGUGUUAUAAUCGAGGUAGAUCUGAGGAGUAAGCAGGGUCCUCAUCUCUGCGCUUAAACCCUUUUUGAACAUAUCUUGCUUCUUCUCAUCCUUGUCUACUUCUUCUGGAGCAUAGCAGGCCAACUCCAUGAACUGAUAGGUGUAUUCUUCCACGGACUUGUUGCCUUGGCGCAGUUCACGGAACUCAUCCGCCUUGCGCUUCAUGGUGGUCGCAGGAAUGUGAUAGCGGCGGAACUCAGUCACGAACUCAUCCCAGGUUAUAGUGGAGGCAUCCUGGGCGGCAGUGCAGUAGUUCUCCUACCAAGCUAAGGCAGUCCCAAUGAGUUGAUGAGCACCCAGGACCACCUUGUCCCUGCUCUCACAGCCAAACGGCUCUAGCUUCCUCUGGAUGACCCGCAGUCAGUCAUCUGCGUCCAGAGGGUUGAUGGACCCGCCAAAAGUGGGUGGCUUGGUCCGGAGGAAGUCUGUCAGCUUCUCAUUCAUGCCCUGUCCGCGGGGCCUUUGGCGAGUGAUGGCAUUGGCCAAAGCUUCCAGCAGAAGGGUCUGGUUGUUCAUGACUUGUACCAAAUCAAUGACCGGCGGGGGCGGUGGCUGCUGUGCUCCCAUUUGACUUUCCCCCCUACCCUCGAGCUGAUUCACUUCUUGUUCCUCAUGGUGCACCGCUGGUGGGGGUUUCUGCCUUUCCAGCUGUCUUUCUGCACUAGGAGUGGCACGUGCCUGACUCGGGGAGGUCCUGGUGGCACGCUUGGGAGGCAUCUGCAGAUUGAGUGAUCUUUCAUGAGACUUGGAUUUGGAUAUUAAAGUGAUGUUUAGUUAAUUAAUUCGGAUUUUUGAAGAGACAAAAUCCACCUCCUGUCGACAAGCACACAAACUAACAGAUAACAAGUACAAAUGAUUUUAUUAAUUUGUCGGGGUGGUUACAACACUUGGGGUGGGGCCAAAACACACACUACAUGGCCAGUACAACAGCACAACUGGGUACAAGUCUAGACUUAGGACAGCUUCUGGAGUACAACUCUAGGUGGGGCACUCUAUUCAUGGGACGAAUCUGCACCCUGCACGGAGUGGUCUUCUGGUGGAAUAAGGAGGGCCACCACCUCGUCCCUUAGGGUCCCACCUGCGGGAGGAGGUUCUGAGGCUUGUCCAUUGGCCACCUCAGAGUCCCUUUCCGAAGGCGGUGGUGCUGGUGGGGCAUCGGGGCUCUUCCAUUUCCCGGACCCCUGGGCAACAGGGACUCCAUCCAAGACUGGAGCCUCGUCGUCCUCCACGACCCGCAUUUUCCUUCUCGCGCGGUUUGAGUGGUGGACUUCCUUCAAUGCCCGCACGUGCCGGUCCUCGGCCUCUUUGAGGGCCUUGAUGGCGAGGGCCUCAUUGCUUUGGGCGGCCGCAGCUCGAACCUCAGCUGCUGCCAAUCUCACCUGGAGCCUCCUCACCAUAACUUCUGCAUCCUCAGCUCUACGAAUCUGCUGCUUCAGAUGGGCGGUAUGCUCAUCGUAGAGUUCAUCCAAGGUGAGGAGAUAGGCAGCCAUAUGGAGCACGGUGGGGUCAUCCUCGUGCUGUCCACGUCCUUCCAAAGUCCUUACCCGGGCCAGCCAAAUCAGGCAGUUUUUCUUGAUAGGCGGGUAAAACCUCAUCGGUGUGCGACCGAUGUGCCUCUCAUAAAUCUGGCACAGGUAGCGCAGGGCUUUCCGAGCUGCCACCUGGUAAAUGUCUUUCCACCGAAAACUAGUGGCAGACACAUUCCAAGGCUGAAUGUCGGGGAAGCAGCUGCUCCUGCCCACGUAGAUGGUCAUCUCACACCGGAGAGUCCCACGGUCUUCAUACUCCCGGCUAGAGUACUCCAGACGCUCGUAAAUCCCAAGGUGGUCCAUGCAGGCAAACAGCAACCUGGAAAAACCGAGCUCCUCCAGGCAAUGGCUGUUGACCCAACCUUCUUCGGCCAUCUGGAAAGAAUCGGGGUGUAAAUCAGUAUUGCAAUUGAGCAGAGGAAGCAAUAAAUUUUGUAAAUCAUUUAAUUUGGUCAAAAAGGCUUUUCCGGUUCUAAUGGUUAUGUCCUACGGCCAACGACGGCUCUGAUACCACCUGAAGCGUUCCCACAUAAGUAGAGACUAAAUGUGAGCCAAUUAUCAAUCCCAGGAGGCUGAUAACACAUUUAUUCAACAGAUAGUUCAGAAACCAUAUAGCUCCCGAAGGAGCGGGCGGGAGAGCCACACCCAAAGUAAAACUAAAGCAAUAACAAUACAAAUCCAAGUUGCAGUCUAGCCGGACUCCGGGCUGCAAUCGGAACUAUGCGUCAGCGGAAGCAUCCUGCAAAAGGCGCCAACACCGUAGGCAGCGUUGGGUGCAGACGCAACCUCCUACUCGAAAUCCUCGGCGACGAAGUCCGGAUCCUCCUCUAAAGCAACAAAAUAGGGGUGAGUACAAAAGUACUCAACAUGUCCAACCCCAUCCACGGAGGGGGAUAUAGCAAGAUUAUGCACAGGAUACAACAAGGAUAUGGUUAAGGUUUAUUUGCAAUAAAGCUAGAUUUUGGACACAUGCAGGGGUUUAUUUCAAAGGAUUUUUGCAAGGCAUUUUCUUUAAUAACUGAAACAUUAAGUGGGGUUGAUCCUACACAAAGGAUCCAAGUUUUAUCGCUACCGGACUCCCCGUCCGCCGUAGCGCACAGCACAACUAUCGGACUCUUCCAAAAUCCAACACACGCCACAAAAACCAACCAUCUCCAAAUGCUAGUUAUGUGACCAAGCCGUAACUCGUCCAAUGCCGUGGACACGGCUACCCAGAUAGGUUUUAACUCUGCAGAGGUUGUACACUUUUCCCACAAGUAGGGUACCGCAACACGAACCACCUUAGUGCCGGUGCGGAUCCUAACAAAGCUAUUACCCACCUUAGCACAAACUGACUAGUCAACACAGAAGCACCCAAGGGGUUAACGACCCAUCCAUGAGGCUGAAACCGGGACUUAAGUCACCAAGAGCUUAAUCCUUUCCCAUGGGCUCCCGUCGCUCACCAGCACACCUAAAGCCUAGCAGUUUAGCUAGUGGGGUUUAUGCUAAGCCGUUGCCCAUACAACGGUCGAGUGGUUGCACGAUGGUUGAAUUAGGCAGGAUGACACAUCAACUCGGUCCUUAGCCAUGACAAGAUGGACAUCUCCCAACUUUUCUCAACCACUAAGGUACGAGCUCAACAACCCGGCAUUUCACACAAGAAAUGCCCAUCCAUCUCAUCCAUGCACCAUUUCUCUUUACGCCCGAAAACCCAUCUCCUCAGUUGAACACACUCACACAUUUUAUUUCCGGGAGCUCCUGCUCACGGUACUGGUCCUCGGGCUUGGGCUCACGGUCGAACUCCUCCUCAUGCUCCUCCUCGGGUACUCCAUGAUCUAUGGCACACAUAAAUGAGCACAUAAUAAAGAAAAAGGAAAAAGAUUCUACCAGUUGAGCUCCAGAUAGGAAAUGUGAACGGAAAAUAGGUAGGAAGGGUAUUUUCAUGAAAUUUGGAUAUGCCUCGGCGGAAAUAUAUGAGAGGAGGCCGUGGUCGAAUUUGGGAUCAAUUGGAGGAAGUUUGGCGCAUGAAAUGACGGGUUAAAGGGGUGUUAGGGGCUUAACACAAGGUUUAGGACUAAACUGCGGACCUAUUUGUAAUUAUUUCUGAGGGGUGGAAGGGCGUAUCCACGGAAUUUUUCAAAGAGAGGUGGGAGGGCCGGUUUGCAAAUAGGAGGAAGGGGAGGGGCAGAUCAAAAUUGAAGGGGAAAUUCCCCCUUCUUCUUCCUUGAACCGUGACAUGAAGUGGAGGAAAGGAGGGGGCCGGUGGGUGUCGGGAUACGAGGUAGGCUACACUAGCGCAAAUCAAAAUUUCUACCGCGUAAGACCAGGAAGAACUACCGUAUAAGGAUCACGGGAUUACCACUCGACGCACUACUGGUGCGGAAGAUGUAGAUUUGCGUCGAUGCAGUGAAGACGAUCAACGUAGUCGUACGUAGUCGAUCACGUCAAUGUCGAGCAGCUCCUCAGCAGCUCGUCCACGUGCAGCAAGAUCGCCCUCGUGCCGCGGCUCGUCGUCGGCUCGUCGUGGCUCGUUGGCGGCUCGUCCAAGUGCUACAGGCGCAACACCUCCAAGGUAUCCACACGUGCAGGGAGGAAGCGUCGCAAGCCGGAUUGCUAGAUCCGCGAGUGUAAACCCUAGCGUCGUGGGAGGCGCAGCAGAUGUGUUUCGUCAAAAGGUGUAAACCCUAGGGCGCCCCCACCCGUCUAUUUAUAGAGGUUCCUCAUGGGCCUCUGGGUCCGAGGCCCAUUAGUACUUCUAAACCUAAUCCAACUCGGAUCAGAUCCGAAUUGGGCUUCCAGCCCCUUAAGUGUGUGACCCUAUGAGUUCGGAUACGUAUAGACAUGGCCCGAGUACUCCUACUCGGCCCAAUAGUCGGUAGCGGCCUCUAGCAAGACGUGCCAACUCCUAUACGCACACGAAGAUCAUAUCAGACGAACCAUCACAACAUAAUAUACAUGCUAUUCCCUUUGCCUCACGAUAUUUGGUCUAGCUUCAAGCCGACCGCUCUUUCUCGAUCCUGUGAUUCGUAAUCCCUUUAUAGGUUAACUCUUAACCGUACGUAGCAUGGCCAUGCAUUUUUGGAUCCGAUCACUUGAGGGGCCUAGAGAUAUCACUCUCAAUCAGAGAGGGGCAAAUCCCAUCUUGAUUGACCAUGUCUCAUAGCAUGCUUCUUGACAAACCCGAAAGCUACCUUUAUAACUACCCUGUUACGGCGUAGCGUUUGAUACCCCCUAAGUAGGUCGAUCCACAUCUUGAAUACAUGCGACAAUCUCAGGUCUAAGGACAAAGCGUAUAUGUUGUUUAAAGAGAGAACUACUUCUCGUGUUGGGUCAGUCCUAACACAUGUCUCCACAUGUGUCCACAUUAUUAGUUCAACAUCUCCAUGUCCAUGACUUGUGAAACAUAGUCAUCAACUAAUACAUGUGCUAGUCUAACAUUCAUGUGUGUCCUCACAUGAACUCCGACUAGGGACAAGUUUAGAAUAACCACACAAGUAAAGAGUUUCACAUACAAUUCACAUAAUUGCAAAUCAAUUCAAGUAGCAUUUAAUGGAUAUUCAAUGAACACAAUAUACAAAUCAUGGAUACAAAUGGAAUAUCAUCAUCUCUAUGAUUGCCUCUAGGGCAUACCUCCAACAGUCUCCCACUUGCACUAGAGUCAAUCUAGAAGGUACCUAAUACCCAUAGCUCUUACAUGCGCAUCAUGCUUAGCCUGCGGGAGUGGUUUUGUCAACGGAUCAGAAAUGUUCAGAUCCGUGUGUAUUUUGCAUAUCUUGAUCUCACCCCGGUUAACAAAGUCUCGAAUGAGAUGAAAUCGCCGCAUUACGUGUUUGUUCUUCUGGUGGUUCCUUGGCUCCUUUGCUUGCGCAAUUGCCCUAUUAUUAUCACAGUAGAGAUUCAAUGGGCUGGACGCAUUCGGGAACACACCAAGCUCAAUGAGGAAAUUCCUUAUCCAAAUACCUUCCUUCACGGCUUUCGAAGCUGCAAUGUACUUGGCUUCUGUCGUAGAAUCGGCCACCAUCUCCUGCUUGGAACUCUUCCAACUAACAGCACCACCAUUUAGCGUGAACACAAAUCCUGAUUGUGACUUUGAAUCAUCUCUGUUGGUUUGGAAACUAGCAUCGGUGUAACAUGUUACAACGAGCUCCUCCUCACCUCCAUAGACGAGGAACAUAUCUUUAGUCCUUCUCAAGUACUUAAGAAAGUUUUUCACCGUUGUCUAGUGAUUCUCACCUGGAUCAGACUGGUGUCUCCUUGUCAUACUUAGCGCAUAUGAAACAUCUGGGUGAGUACUUAUCAUUGCAUACAUGAUAGAUCCAAUAGCCGAGGCAUAUGGCACUCUACUCAUGCGAUCCCGCUCAUCAGCAGUCGAAGGACACUGAGUCUUGCUGAGAUGUAUGCCAUGUGACAUAGGCAAGAACCCUUUCUUUGCCUCUUCCAUGCUGAACCGCUUCAACACUUUGUCAAUGUAAGUAUCUUGGCUUAAUCCUAUAAGCCUUCUCGAUCUAUCUCUAUAGAUCUUAAUGCCCAGAAUAUAUGCCGCUUCCCCUAAGUCCUUCAUCGAAAAACUAUUUUCCAGUGAAGUCUUUACGGACUCAAGCAUAGGAAUGUUAUUUCCAAUCAGCAAUAUGCCAUCCACAUAUAAGAUUAGAAAUACUACAGAGCUCCCACUAACCUUCUUGUAAACACAAGACUCUUCUUCGUUCUUGGUGAAGUCAAACCCUUUGACCACUUCAUCAAAAUGAAUGUUCCAACUCCUAGAUGCUUGCUUCAAUCCAUAAAUGGAUCUUUGAAGCUUGCAUACCUUUCCAGCAUUUUUCGGAUCGACAAAACCCUCAGGCUGUAUCAUAUACACGUCCUCAGCUAGGUUUCCAUUCAGGAAAGCUGUCUUGACAUCCAUCUGCCAUAUCUCAUAAUCGAAAUAUGCAGCUAUAGCUAGAAUAAUCCGAAUGGACUUAAGCAUCACUACGGGCGAGAAAGUCUCGUCGUAGUCAACUCCUUGAACUUGCCGAAAACCUUUUGCGACAAGUCGUGCUUUAUAGAUGUGAACAUUUCCAUCCAUGUCCUUUUUCUUCUUAUAGAUCCACUUGCACUCUAUGGCUUUAACACCAUCAGGCGGGUCAACCAAGUUCCAAACUUGAUUGUCUCCCAUGGACUCUAUUUCGGAUUGCAUGGCACUCUGCCAUUUUUCGGAGUCUGGGUCCAUCAUUGCUUCUGCAUAUGUCGCAGGCUCAUCAUUGUCCAACAAUAAUAUUUCCUGCAUUUCGCGGAGCCUUGCCGACCUUCGUGGUUGUGGCGGUGCUUCUCUUGCCAUGGGUAUCUCAACUUGUUCUGCUACGUUAGCAUCACUCAUUGAUUCUUGCCCGAUCGGCUCAUCUUGAACUUCUUCAAGAUGCACUGUCUUUCCACUCUUGAUAUGAACCCGCUAGGGUUGAUUCCCGAUCUUUCGAUGAGAGAGGCGUGGAUAACUCGAUUGGUAGAUGGAGACGACGUUCACGGCCCGACUACAGCCUUCCAAGCUGCGCCUUAGCAACCGAUACACCACCUCCAAUGGCUGCCGCGAUCUUGUGGAGCGCGUCACCCGGCCACUAGGGCACUUGUCCUGCAAGCAAUCGAAGAACAAGCAAGAACAAGUAUAACAAGCAACUAAAUUGCAAUUAUGGAGAUGAAAACUAAUCUGAACUCAUAGAGUUGGGGUUCCGAAUCGAGUAGAACGGAUGGUCUAGUCGACACACGCGUCUACAAGGAAGUAGCAAUGGCUAAACUUACAUCAAAACAAAACCCAAUCUAUUCGUGGCGGCUCUAAUACUUAUUAAUACCUAGGAGGACGACCAGGGGGGUGUUGGGGUCGUGCUCCAACCCUAGGACACGUCCCUAAUGGACCCAACUUGAUACACGGCCCAUCGGGCCAAAAUAGGGCGACGCAGCACCUGUGGACAGAAAACCUCUCGGUAGUAUUUCGAUGAUUGCGGUCGCCUCAGAACAGAUAUGGACAUGAGUCCGGAUCCAUAUGAAAAUAGACUUCAUAAGAAUUCCAAGGAGUACUUGAACGCCCAAAACGGAGUCCGGAUGAGGUCAUGGCGGUCGUUGCAAGUUGGGCCAGAACUGUAGUCCGAAUCCAGCACCAAAACGUGUUGGAUUGGAUCUCUUUCUUUCCUUGGGCCAAAAGUGACGUGGUGGCCUGGUGGAGGAUGUUAGGAAUACUUGGACUUGGCCCCCAAUCUACUUCUUUGGUCCUCCAUGCCUUCCAUGUGUGUUUAACACUAUUUUUGAUCCAUGUAUGUAUUUCUGAAAUUGACAACGAAUACACAUCAUGGUGCAGCAUCAAUUCAUCAAAUGUAUCACAUAUAAUUAUGAUAAAGAAUUGUUUCACCUCGGAGUCAAAAGAUGCCAAUAUGGUUGUAUCUGAGCAUGUGAUGUCCUCAUCAUUCUCCCCUUCUUGGCUGCAAGUCGUCCUCGACUUGCUCCAGUGGCAUUCUAAGGUGCUUGUUUUGAUGUUGGAGCACGGAGCGACGGCCAUGCUGCAUGGCCACAACCAGUAAUGCUCCCCUUCUUUGCCCUUACACUGUUGCAUAUGAGAAAAACUAGAAAAGCUUUGGAAGACAUUAUUAGUGUUAGUGCAGCCCUCUAUUUGAUCUUGGUAUUGGUGCCCCAAAGGAUAUUUCAUAUUAGAGCAAAAAUAAACUUUAUGCACCAAAUAUUCUCCUUUGCUAUCGUAUUUGCCAAUUGGAUGAAGCGAACAAUGAUUAAAACUUGGCAAACCAGAACCAAAUUGAAGUUUCUCUUUUAGACAAUUUAGAUUACACAAAACAUCAAAUUCAAUGUAACCCAAAGUAUUUAAAGAGGAUAGCAAAUUCAGUUCAUCUUGUGCACAAGUAAUAGGAUGAAAAAGCUUAGCUUCAGCACAUUUGUAUGAUUCCAAACCAAAAGUAUCACACUUAUUCACUACUUGUGGUAUAGGAGUAAAAGAAUCAUCAGCACACAAGUCCUCUUUAUCACAAGGAACAGCAAGUAAUUCAUUUUGUGACAAAGGAAAAUCAGCAAUGGGUUCCACUAUUUGAUGCUCUUCAUUAGCAUGGAGAGUGGACAAAUUUUGGAUAUAAUGGGUCACAUCAUGCUUGCAAGUAUUCACAGAUAAAAGAAUCUCCUUUUCAACAUUGAGAGCAAGGCAAAACAAUUGACCAAUAUGUAUGUAUGAUUUGCUUAGCAACAAGGUUUGAAUUUCAGAAUUGAGCCCUCUCAUGAACCUACACAUAACAUCUUCCAUGCACUCAUCUAAUCCACCAUACAUGAUACAAAUUUUAAAAUCAUGGAAGUAUUCUUUUACAGUCCUACUACCUUGCCUCAAGUUGUCUAAUUUAGCAAGCAAAUAAUCAGCAUAAUAUUCAGGAAUGAAUGCAUCUCUAAAAAGAAAUUUAAAGUCUUCCCAAGAUUCUAGAACUUUGUUGUGCCUACAAAUGUGUUUCCAUUCUAGCAAAGCAAAUCCAGUCAAAACAUUAGAGGUAAUAUAAAUCUUUUGUUUCUCGGACAAGUCAUGCUCAUCAAAUUCAGUAUCUACUUUUAGCUCCCAAUCAAUGUAAGCUUUAGGAUCAAACUUACCAUCAUAUAACGGCAAUUGUUGAAUGACAUCUUGAAUAUGAGAGUCUAGUUUCAACAGCUCAAAAAUCUCCGUAUCACCUGCCAUGAUUAGUAGAAAACAAGAAACACAAAAAUAAUAUGUAUCCUCCUGUCAACUACUAGGAUGUGUCGGUUGUAAUUCUCUCAAACUCAACUUGUAAAAACAAGCCCUUACAAGUUCUUACCAAGCCAAACAGGAGGUGACGGCAACCAACAAGUCUACAACCGUGGAGUGAAGUGUACCGGUGCCGCAGCAACAAAAAAACCUGUCAAGCUGUAGUCGAAUAUGUGGAGCUGUAGGUGGGCUUAAGCAAGGAAAUAUACUAGCACCACGUUAGUCACAAAAGCAAGCUGAAUAAUAGUUCAACGGUGGUACUGUGCUGGUCCUAGCCUAGACCGUGCUAGAGACGCGAGCCUGGACACAAAGGAAGUCACAACACACCACCGAAAAACAACAGAGAAGCACAACGAACAGCCCCUUUUCUUCCUGUUUUUUUUUUGUCUUUCUUUUCCUUUUUUUUUCUUCUGUUUUUUUUUCUUCUUUUUUUUUUCAGGGGAUCCUCAAAUCUGAUUAUAUGAACAAAAGGACCUCACAAGAGUCACACACCACACAAACUUUUUCCGAAAGGAUAGAAAUCAGAUUUGGACUCAAGACAGCAACAGGGCAGCUGUCAAUUCGGACUCCAAACCGAUUCCAACUUGAACUCAGCACCACGUGGGAUUUGAUCUUAAACAAACUCGGAGUAGGACUCAGACUUGAACACAAACAUGUAUUCAGAUUCAGCCAAUACAAGGUUUUAUAUGGUAGCACACGGCUGUGACUGGAACGUGACAAGAACUCAAAACUCUAAAGGACUAAAACUAAGACCAGCAACUCGACACAACCGAUGCAACCAAAAACUCAACAAGCCCUAACUAAGCAGUGCUAGCAAAGGCUCAAAGGGUUUAUAGGAUUGCGAGUAAACUAAUCUACUAAUUUUUUGGCUUUUUCUGGACUAUAGGAAAUUAAAAACAGCAAAGAACUAGAAGUCUCUCACCGAUAAACCUUGCUCUGAUUACCAACUGAUAUGAACCCGCUAGGGUUGAUUCCCGAUCUUUCGAUGAGAGGCGUGGGAUAACUCGAUUGGUGGAUGGAGACGACGUUCACGGCCCGACUACAGCCUUCCAAGCUGCGCCUUAGCAACCGAUACACCACCUCCAAUGGCUGCCGCGAUCUUGUGGAGCGCGUCACCCGGCCACUAGGGCACUCGUCCUGCAAGCAAUCGAAGAACAAGCAAGAACAAGUAUAACAAGCAACUCAAUUGCACAUAUAGAGAUGGAAACCAAUCUGAACUCACAAAGUUGGGGUUCCGAAUCGAGUAGAACGGAUGGUCUAGUCGACACACGCGUCUACAAGGAAGUAGCAAUGGCUAAACUUACAUCAAAACAAAACCCAAUCUGUUCGUGGCGGCUCUAAUACUUAUUAAUACCUAGGAGGACGACCAGGGGGGUGUUGGGGUCGUGCUCCAACCCUAGGACACGUCCCUAAUGGACCCAACUUGAUACACGGCCCAUCGGGCCAAAAUAGGGCGACGCAGCACCUGUGGACAGAAAACCUCUCGGUAGUAUUUCGAUGAUUGCGGUCGCCUCAGAACAGAUAUGGACAUGAGUCCGGAUCCAUAUGAAAAUAGACUUCAUAAGGAUUCCAAGGAGUACUUGAACGCCCAAAACGGAGUCCGGAUGAGGUCAUGGCGGUCGUUGCAAGUUGGGCCAGAACUGUAGUCCGAAUCCAGCACCAAAACGUGUUGGAUUGGAUCUCUUUCUUUCCUUGGGCCAAAAGUGACGUGGUGGCCUGGUAGAGGAUGUUAGGAAUACUUGGACUUGGCCCCCAAUCUACUUCUUUGGUCCUCCAUGCCUUCCAUGUGUGUUUAACACUAUUUUUGAUCCAUGUAUGUAUUUCUGAAAUUGACAACGAAUACACAUCAUGGUGCAGCAUCAAUUCAUCAAAUGUAUCACAUAUAAUUAUGAUAAAGAAUUGUUUCACCUCGGAGUCAAAAGAUGCCAAUAUGGUUGUAUCUGAGCAUGUGAUGUCCUCAUCAACUCUUUUCUCCUUUGAGAAACUCUUUCUCUAGGAAAACCCCGUUCCGAGCGACAAACACUUUGCCUUCUAAUCGGUUGUAGAAAUAAUAUCCCAAAGUUUCCUUUGGAUAUCCCACGAAAAUGCACUUAUCCGACUUGGGUGUGAUCUUGUCUGACUGAAGUCGCUUGACAAACACUUCACAUCCCCAAAUCUUUAGAAAAGACAAACUAGGAACCUUUCCAGUCAAUAUCUCAUAUGGUGUCUUAACUACGGAUUUAGAUGGUACCCUAUUAAGUGUGAAAGCUGCUGUUUCUAGAGCGUAUCCCCAAAAUGACAAUGGUAGGUCCGACUGGCUCAUCAUUGAUCGAACCAUGUCUAACAAAGUUUGAUUACAUCGCUCAAAUACACCGUUUCUCUGAGGUGUUCCAGGUGGCAUAAGUUGUGGAACAAUUCUGCAACUCUUUAGAUGAUUGCUAAACUCGUGGCUCAAAUACUCGCCUCCACGAUCAGAUCGUAAGGCCUUAAUUUUCUUGCCACGCUGAUUUUCAACUUCAUUCUGAAAUUCCUUGAACUUUUCAAAGGUUUCAAACUUGUGCCUCAUAAAGUAGACAUAGCCAUAUCUACUAAAAUCAUCAGUGAAAGUUAUGAAGUAUUGGAAUCCUCCUCUAGCCGUCGUGCUCAUUGGUCCGCAUACAUCACUAUGUACGAGUUCCAACAAGUCUACUACUCUCUCAGGAAAUCCUGUGAAAGGCGUCUUGGUCAUCUUGCCUAACAAGCAAGCCUCACAUGUCUCGCAUGAUUCAAAAUCAAACAAAGUUAGAAGUCCAUCAGAAUGGAGCUUCUUCAUGCGCUUUUCACUUAUAUGACCCAAACGACAAUGCCACAAGUAGGUAGGACUCAAAUCAUUAGGCCGAGGCCUUUUAGCACUUACGUUACAGACAGGUGAACCAUCAAGAUUUAAAACAAAUAAUCCAUUCACAAUGGGUGCAAAAGCCAUAAACAUAUCAUUCUUAGAGAUCACACAACCAUUGUUUUCACUCGCAAAUGAAUAACCAUCCUUCAUCAAGCAUAAAGGAGACAAAAUGUUUCGACUAAAACUAGGAACGAAAUAACAAUUAUUCAACUCCAUAAUAAAUCCUGACGGGAGGUGGAGUUGCAUCGUCCCGACGGUCAAUGCAGCAACUCUUGCAUUAUUGCCCACGCGGAAAUCAACUUCUCCUCUUUCCACGCUUCUACUUCUUAUCAUUCCCUGCAUCGAAUUGCAAAUAUGAGCAACCGAUCCGGUAUCAAAUACCCAAGAAUUAAUAAUUGUAUCAGCAAGAAAAAUAUUGUCUAUAACAUUAACAACAAGCGUACCUGAGGUAGAAGUACUCUUACUUCCGCCAUUCUUCAACGAAGCUAGGUACUGCUUGCAGUUUUUCUUCCAGUGACCAAGUUCAUGAUAGUAAAAGCACUCUUUGUCUGGAGCAGGUCCAGGUCCAGCUUUAACCUUGGGUGCUGGGUUUGGCUUGGACGUUCCAGCCUUGCCCUUCUUCUUCCAAGAAUUGCCCUUCUUCUUAAAGCUAGGCUUGUUCUGUAUAGCCAUCACAUGGCUGGUACUAGCGCUUUUCUUGAUGUCAGCCUCUGCUGUUUUAAGCAUGCCACAUAGCUCAUUCAGACCCUUCUCCAUCCCAUGCAUAUGGUAGUUCGAGAUGAAGUUCCCAUAGCUAGGCGGAAGAGAUGAAAGAAUGAAAUCAGUGGCCAACUCUUGGCCCAGUGGGAAGCCCAACUUCUCCAACCAUUGAGUGUAACCAACCAUCUUGAUUACGUGUGGUCCUACUACUGCGCCUUCUGCUAGCUUGCUCUCAACAAAGGCCUUAGACACAUUGAACCUUUCAGUCCUGACCUGUGUUUGGAACAUGUCUCUAAGCGCCAUGAUCAUAUCGCGUGCCUCAUGGUUUGUUUCAAACUGCAUCUGCAGCUCGGGUUCCAUGCAAGCAAGCAUAAGGCAGCUUACUUCGAGGUUAGCAUCACAUGCUUUCUUGUAAGCAUUCUUAGCAGCAGCGGGUGCAUCAUCAGCAGGUUCUUCUGGUAGUGGGUUGUCUAGAACAUCUUCCUUUUUCUCAACCUUGAGAACAAUUCUCAGGUUACGGAUCCAAUCCGAGUAAUUUGUUCCAUUCAACUUGUCCUUCUCAAGGACCGAACGUAAAGCAAACGGUAUAGUGCUGCUAGGUGCCAUUUAAUCUACAACAAAGUAAUGCAAAAUACACUAAGACAAACGUAUCCAUGAUAGAGUAAAUCACAUUAAACUAUUUUAAUAGAAUCUACUCCCACUAAAAUCAAUAUCCCUCUAUUGAAACUUAGUGAUUCAGGAUCCACAACUAACAAGUCUACUAGUGAGCUUUAGCAUCACCGCUAGCAAACAAGGUAGAUCGGUUAGCAACUUUUGCUAAUCAUAUCACAUAUGACUCCUGUUGUUGGGUGACAUCUCUAUGUCUCGGCGCCCAACCUUUAUGCCCCAAGGUCCUUAACCGUUAAGAUAACCUUGUUAAGCAAACCAACCCUUAUGCGUGUAAGUGUCCGACACAAACCCGUCUAGUCAAGGAAAACUAGUGGUACCCUAAUUUCAUAGACCCACCACUAAUUGUACAAGACAUGGGACGGUGCAAGUUUUAGUUGGGAGGGCAUACUAACUUAAACUUUGUGAGGGAUCGUUCUACUUCUAACAUCACAGCAUGCAGAAAGUAAAACAUAAACAGAAUAGCAUUCACACAGUUGUGACACAGUAUGGCCCGUUUUCAUAUGGUGAUCUCCAUCUCCAUAGAACGUGUUCACCAUGGUGAUCUCCAUCUCCAUGUUCCAUGUGCGCCAUCCUCCUGGUGAUGAGUCCUCCAAGAACUAGAACAUGCUAUUACACCUAAUAGCUAGUCAAGAAGCUAGUAAUGAAGAUUACAUAGUUGCUUGGAUCAUCACAGAUUGGUAUGCAGACCAUUAAAUACAAUAAAGUGACAACACAUAUGGCUCCUGCCAUGUUGCCGUACGUGCGACACGUAGGUCACGAAUGAGUUACACACAUGCAUCGCAUACACAAAGGGCCAUACUGAUCACAAGAUACAUACAUCCUGCAAAACAGAGUUAAGCAUCCUAACGUUCCAAACUUCGAAUGCCCGAAACUCUAUCUUCCAAGCCGAAUUUGGGAAAUCUAAUUUCGCCGAAAACAGCAUAGCAGUUGAAUUUCAUGUGUAACUAUUUCUGUAGAUCAAUUUUCAUAUAAAAUUCGCCCCGAUCCGAGAUCGUACCGAAAAGUUACGGCUGAUUUACCGAAGCAUACGCAUACGGCAAAAAUCCCGACCCCAGUAGUAGAUCCCAUCUACUUUUGCACAUCUAAUGCGCCUGGCGUAUGACCCUGGAUUUCGAUUCGACCAAUCAUAUUGAUCUUCGCUCACUGCAACUGGAAUUACGUGUAUCACUUAACUCCGAUGGCGGAAACCGACCGGUAGGAGUAUGUCGUUACACUACCAUUGCAGCAAGAACAUGAAACCAGGACAUAGAUCAAACUGAAAACUCGCAUAUCUCCAUAUGCACACAUCCUGAUUCCAAAACUAAACAACUACGGCUCAUGAUACCACUGUUGGGAUACGAGGUAAGCUACACUAGCGCAAAUCAAAAUUUCUACCGCAUAAAAACAGGAAGAACUGCCGUAUAAGGAUCACGCGAUUACCACUCGACGCACUACUGGUGCGGAAGAUGUAGAUUUGCGUCGAUGUAGUCAAGACGAUCAACGUAGUCGUACGUAGUCAAUCACGUCAACGUCCAGCAGCUCCUCAGCAGCUCGUCCACGUGCAGCAAGAUCGCCCUCGUGCUACGGCUCGUCGUCAGCUCGUCGUGGCUCGUCGGUGGCUCAUCGUGGCUCGUCGGCGGCUCAUCCAAGUGCUGCAGGCGCAACACCUCCAAGGUAUCCACACGUGCAGGGAGGGCGUGGGAGGCGUGGUAGAUGUGUUUCGCCAAAAGGUGUAAACUCUAGGGCGCCCCCACCCCUCUAUUUAUAGAGGUUCCUCAUGGGCCUCUGGGUCCGAGGCCCAUUAGUACUUCUAAACCUAAUCCAACUCGAAUCAGAUCCGAAUUGGGCUUCCAGCCUCUUAAGUGUGUGACCCUAUGGGUUCGGAUACGUAUAGACAUGGCCCGAGUACUCCUACUCGGCCCAAUAGUCGGUAGCGGCCUCUAGCAAGACGUGCCAACUCCUAUACGCACACGAAGAUCAUAUCAGAUGAACCAUCACAACAUAAUAUACAUGCUAUUCCCUUUGCCUCACGAUAUUUGGUCUAGCUUCAAGCCGACCGCUCUUUCUCGAUCCUGUGAUUCGUAAUCCCUUUGUAGGUUAACUCUUAACCGUACGUAGCAUAGCCAUGCAUUUUUGGAUCCGAUCACUCGAGGGGCUCAGAGAUAUCACUCUCAAUCAGAGAGGGGCAAAUCCCAUCUUGAUUGACCAUGUCUCAUAGUACUUCUAAACCUAAUCCAACUCGAAUCAGAUCCGAAUUGGGCUUCCAGCCUCUUAAGUGUGUGACCCUAUGGGUUCGGAUACGUAUAGACAUGGCCCGAGUACUCCUACUCGGCCCAAUAGUCGGUAGCGGCCUCUAGCAAGACGUGCCAACUCCUAUACGCACACGAAGAUCAUAUCAGAUGAACCAUCACAACAUAAUAUACAUGCUAUUCCCUUUGCCUCACGAUAUUUGGUCUAGCUUCAAGCCGACCGCUCUUUCUCGAUCCUGUGAUUCGUAAUCCCUUUGUAGGUUAACUCUUAACCGUACGUAGCAUAGCCAUGCAUUUUUGGAUCCGAUCACUCGAGGGGCUCAGAGAUAUCACUCUCAAUCAGAGAGGGGCAAAUCCCAUCUUGAUUGACCAUGUCUCAUAGCAUGCUUCUUGACAAACCCGAAAGCUACCUUUAUAACUACCCUGUUACGGCCUAGCGUUUGAUAGCCCCUAAGUAGGUCGAUCCACAUCUUGAAUACAUGCAACAAUCUCAGGUCUAAGGACAAAGCGUAUAUGUUGUUUAAAGAGAGAACUACUUCUCGUGUUGGGUCAGUCCUAACACAUGUCUCCCCAUGUGUCCACAUUAUUAGUUCAACAUCUCCAUGUCCAUGACUUGUGAAACAUAGUCAUCAACUAAUACAUGUGCUAGUCUAACAUUCAUGUGUGUCCUCACAUGAACUUCGACUAGGGACAACUUUAGAAUAACCACACAAGUAAAGAGUUUCACAUACAAUUCACAUAAUUGCAAAUCAAUUCAAGUAGCCUUUAAUGGAUAUUCAAUGAACACAAUAUACAAAUCAUGGAUACAAAUGGAAUAUCAUCAUCUCUAUGAUUGCCUCUAGGGCAUACCUCCAACAGUGGGGGGCCGGCGAGCCGGGCCUCGCCGGCGGUGAGCCGUGGGGCGGAGGAGGUGGAGGAGGUAGAGGGGGUCCCAUUUUUACCCCUUACCUUGGGGAGUUGGAGAUGGGAGGAGGGGU